RNAcentral lists this ribosomal RNA (253 nucleotides) under uncultured bacterium. Its description in RNAcentral is "partial 16S ribosomal RNA". It matches the Rfam family "Bacterial small subunit ribosomal RNA", at positions 524 to 776 of the family's 1533-position model. The record is from RNAcentral.
UACGAAGGGAGCUAGCGUUGUUCGGAAUUACUGGGCGUAAAGGGCGUGUAGGCGGUUUGAUAAGUUGGAAGUGAAAUCCCAGAGCUUAACUCUGGAAUGGCUUUCAAAACUGCUAAACUAGAUAAUGGUAGGGGAUGGCGGAAUUCCUAGUGUAGAGGUGAAAUUCGUAGAUAUUAGGAGGAACACCGGUGGCGAAGGCGGCCAUCUGGACCAUUUAUGACGCUAAGACGCGAAAGCGUGGGGAGCAAACAGG